UAUCUUUGCUCACUAAUGAAAAUAGCUCAACACUGAACCAAAACAGCAGCGUGGUCCCGGAGCUGCCCCUCCUGCGGCAGCUGCUGGUCGCUGACACACACAAGUGGACCUGGACUCGGCGCUGGGCUGCUUCUCCUGGAUUAAUGAGCACAGAGCGAGCUGAGGCCCAGAGCAGAAGAAGACCUCCUGCCCUGCACAGUGUCCUGACUCUUACUCGCCCUGAUGUCUGGGUGAUCCAGUGAUGCCGGACAGAAACAUUCUUCAGAGUGUCUUCUUUUGUGCCUCACAGGCUCUGAGAGAUCUCUGUCUGUUAUAAUGUGCCAGAGCUCUUAUUUCAGAUGCUGAUGCUGCGCUCUUUUCUCCUACAAGAGCAGCUUCAUGGACGUUUGACAGCAUAAAACAUCACUGUGAUUUAAAGUAAAUGAGGUAAUUAGGGGAA
Long non-coding RNA from Puntigrus tetrazona (Sumatra barb), 439 nucleotides. RefSeq lists it as uncharacterized. The transcript is spliced from 2 exons. NCBI's taxonomy places the organism in Eukaryota, Metazoa, Chordata, Actinopteri, Cypriniformes, Cyprinidae. The record is from RefSeq and is a predicted model, not a curated record.